This 182-nucleotide ribosomal RNA is filed under the name Virgibacillus pantothenticus. Its description in RNAcentral is "partial 16S ribosomal RNA". It matches the Rfam family "Bacterial small subunit ribosomal RNA", at positions 1354 to 1533 of the family's 1533-position model. The record is from RNAcentral. Lineage: Bacteria; Bacillati; Bacillota; Bacilli; Caryophanales; Bacillaceae.
AUGCCGCGGUGAAUACGUUCCCGGGUCUUGUACACACCGCCCGUCACACCACGAGAGUUGGUAACACCCGAAGUCGGUGAGGUAACCUUUUGGAGCCAGCCGCCGAAGGUGGGACCAAUGAUUGGGGUGAAGUCGUAACAAGGUAGCCGUAUCGGAAGGUGCGGCUGGAUCACCUCCUUUCU